RNAcentral lists this ribosomal RNA (380 nucleotides) under uncultured bacterium. RNAcentral's name for it is "bacterial SSU rRNA". It matches the Rfam family "Bacterial small subunit ribosomal RNA", at positions 29 to 407 of the family's 1533-position model. The record is from RNAcentral.
AUUGAACGCUGGCGGCAUGCCUUACACAUGCAAGUCGAACGGCAGCACGGGGGCAACCCUGGUGGCGAGUGGCGAACGGGUGAGUAACACAUCGGAACGUGCCCAGUAGUGGGGGAUAGCUCGGCGAAAGCCGGAUUAAUACCGCAUACGACCCUACGGGUGGAAAAGCGGGGGAGUCGCAAGACCUCGCGCUAUCGGAGCGGCCGAUGUCAGAUUAGGUUGUUGGUGGGGAAAGGCCUACCAAGCCGACGAUCUGUAGCUGGUCUGAGAGGACGGACCAGCACACUGGGACUGAGACACGGCCCAGACUCCUACGGGAGGCAGCAGUGGGGAAUUUUGGACAAUGGGCGCAAGCCUGAUCCAGCCAUGCCGCGUGCGGG